RNAcentral lists this ribosomal RNA (253 nucleotides) under uncultured bacterium. Its description in RNAcentral is "partial 16S ribosomal RNA". It matches the Rfam family "Bacterial small subunit ribosomal RNA", at positions 524 to 776 of the family's 1533-position model. The record is from RNAcentral.
UAGGAAGGGGGCUAGCGAUGUUCGGAAUUACUGGGCGUAAAGCGCACGUAGGCGGAUUUGUUAGUCAGGGGUGAAAUCCCGGGGCUCAACCUCGGAACUGCCUUUGAUACUGCAAGUCUCGAGUCCGGAAGAGGUGAGUGGAAUUCCUAGUGUAGAGGUGAAAUUCGUAGAUAUUAGGAAGAACACCAGUGGCGAAGGCGGCUCACUGGUCCGGUACUGACGCUGAGGUGCGAAAGCGUGGGGAGCAAACAGG